GACGAACCGUCCUAACGUUGUUCGGAUUCACUGGGCGUAAAGGGUGCGUAGGCGGUCGGGUAAGUCUGACGUGAAAUCUUCAAGCUCAACUUGGAAACUGCGUCGGAUACUAUUCGGCUAGAGGAAUGGAGGGGAGACUGGAAUACUUGGUGUAGCAGUGAAAUGCGUAGAUAUCAAGUGGAACACCAGUGGCGAAGGCGAGUCUCUGGACAUUUCCUGACGCUGAGGCACGAAAGCCAGGGGAGCAAACGGG
RNAcentral lists this ribosomal RNA (253 nucleotides) under uncultured bacterium. RNAcentral describes it as "partial 16S ribosomal RNA". It matches the Rfam family "Bacterial small subunit ribosomal RNA", at positions 524 to 776 of the family's 1533-position model. The record is from RNAcentral.